CCCAGCUGGGGCUGCUGUACUGGAUCAUCCGGAGGAACUGGAGCUCAGCAGACAAGCUGAAGGGAAGGAACAGAACCAAGUGCAGGCAGGCGGAGAGGUGCAAGCGCAUGGGGCAUUCCAGAACCUAUCAGGUGGUCGGGGGCCAGAUCACCCCCGCCCCCCCCCCGUGGCUUGCACAUGGUGCUGAGGAAGGAGCUGACAUCCUGAAGGAGAAGGGGUCCAGGAACCCCGUGUUGUGGCUUGACCCUGGUGAACUCAUUUUGUGUUUUCACCUACAGUCCUUAAAUCCGGACUCUGCCAAGGAUUUGUCAAGUUCAAACUUAGAACUUCCCAUUGAUUCUACUUACAUUUCACCUUGUCUGUUAUGUCUGUCUGGACCCUGUUUGUCGAAAACUGUUGAUCAUGCCCCCUAAAGCAUCUCUUCUUCAAGCAUUGAUCAAUUGACCAAUAUCAAGAAUGAGGCUGGGGUGGAGCUUCACUGCAAGGUCAGUCCACACCCCGGGGGCCGACGGUGCUGCUGUCAGACUGACAUUUCAGUCUCUUAGAUCUUGACUGUGAUUCGAUGGUACACAACAUGGAGGAAGCAGACUGUGAAUAUGCCUGUCACCAACACCCUGGAGCACAUCAAAGAAAAGGAGAACGGAGAGAUCUUAAAUCUGGCCACCUCUCAUUUUUCAUUAGUCACUGCCCUGCUGGUUCCUACUCUACUGAAGAGGCAGAGUUCCUCGGUCUGGAAUUUCUGACAGCUUACUUUUCUUGCUGGAGUUCAUGUUUCUUUGAGUACACAAAGUCCCAGGUAUGCCCACUAGUCACUCUUUC
RNAcentral lists this long non-coding RNA (819 nucleotides) under Cricetulus griseus (Chinese hamster). RNAcentral's name for it is "lncRNA (ENSCGRG00015031027.1)". Lineage: Eukaryota; Metazoa; Chordata; Mammalia; Rodentia; Cricetidae. The record is from RNAcentral.